Molecule: long non-coding RNA, 268 nt
Filed under: Gallus gallus (chicken)
Lineage: Eukaryota; Metazoa; Chordata; Aves; Galliformes; Phasianidae
Source: RNAcentral
AAUUUAUCUUGAGACAAGCAAGAAAGGAAGCAGAAAAAGGCAUGAAAUGUUCCAGGUACCUGUCCCAGAAAAGAAGAAGAACAGCAUACCCCGGAGGACUUUGUAUUCAGAGAGGAGAUAAAACACCUGGCAAAGUCAUGGGACCUAGCUCUCUUCCCUUCUGCUCGUCCUGACUGCACAUCUCAUCUCAGCAUUAGACAUUUCUCAGGGCACAGAAUGGAACCAGAUUGUGCUCUUCUUCAGAGUAAGGACUUCCUUCACCAACACU